GCCAAACGCAAGCAAACUCGACAUGUUCGACUCCUCUGCCUCUCGUCGCCAAUUCGGCCUCCAACCCGCGCUUGCCUCGGCAAAGGCGGUGGCGACGAGGCUUGAGCCUGCCUCCGGUGGGGGGCGAUGGCCUCGCUGGCUUCAUCCCCAGCUCGGUCGUCGCUCGGCCGCUCGACAACGAGGACAGAUUCGCUCGGCUUUAUUAGAGCAGGGAAGAGGGCAUGAACCUGAAUUUGAAGGAGAAACGGUCGUAAGAAUGGCCAGUAAUAAAACGGAUCAUUGUGUUUGGAGUCUUUGUUGCUAUCCACUACAACAGGCAGGACUGCAGUUCCCCGUUAAACAUGUAGUAGUGUAUUUUUUUAAUGUAUGCAAGGAACAUACAAGCCUUCUUCAACUUACGCUGGCUGUUUGAUGUUGCAAAGUUGAUGCAGCAUAGUUGCUACCCCCCAGUCAUACAAGAUGCAUCUCCUUGAAACUAGUUGUAUGGUUAAAUAAGUUUAGCAUUGGCUUGUGAACUAGUUCUGUAAGAGGACCUAUAGAGUGCUGUUUAUAGUGCUUUUGUGGUCUUGUUAUCAUGAUAAAUUAUUUUGAGCAAUGUGCUUGUACCUUGAGGGCAAUAAUUAUAUUUGGCAAGAAUUAUAUGUUUA
This is a long non-coding RNA of Musa acuminata AAA Group (dessert banana), 647 nucleotides long. RefSeq lists it as uncharacterized. The transcript is spliced from 2 exons. NCBI's taxonomy places the organism in Eukaryota, Viridiplantae, Streptophyta, Magnoliopsida, Zingiberales, Musaceae. The record is from RefSeq and is a predicted model, not a curated record.